Molecule: unclassified non-coding RNA, 3301 nt
Filed under: Hevea brasiliensis (rubber tree)
Lineage: Eukaryota; Viridiplantae; Streptophyta; Magnoliopsida; Malpighiales; Euphorbiaceae
Source: RNAcentral
UAAGACACAGGUCAGCUUUAGCUGCCUCCCUAAACGCCUCGUUAAAAAGUUGAGAUCGAUUUCUCCUAUUACAACGAGGCGUCUUAGGUCAAUUUUCUGAAAAAUCCAUAUUUUUAAUUUCGGUUGUUCAUCCUUAAUUUAUUUCUCUACUUCAAUUUUUCUAUUUAUUCAUAACAUCAUCGUUCGAUCGAUUUAUCCUUCAUCAUCCAUCCAUUCCUUGCCUUAAUCUCUGCGGAAGAUGGAGGGCUUAAUCAGCAGGCUAAGGAGUUUGGAUGCUUAUCCCAAGAUCAAUGAAGAUUUCUACAGCCGGACACUCUCCGGUGGCAUUAUCACUAUCGUUUCCUCUAUCGUCAUGCUUCUCCUCUUCAUCUCCGAGCUCCGAUUGUAUCUCCAUGCUGUCACUGAAACAAAGCUUGUAGUGGAUACUUCAAGAGGCGAAACUUUACGUAUAAAUGUAAUGCCUUAGUUUAACAAAUUACAGAAGUAUCAACGAGCUUCUAAGUGAUGGAAACUGCUUUUCUAUUAUAAUGUUCAAAAGUUUCCAUUCAUUAGACUUAGGGUGAAUUUGUAUACAUUUGGCUAAAUUUAUCAUACUUAAAAGAUUUGUGAAUUUUUUGCUUUUAUCAAAAAAUUUAAUGGCUUUUGAGAGCAUUAAAUCUGUAAAUCAAAUGAUUUUUAUAAUUCUAUUUGUAUUAGAUAAUGAUAUCUUUCCUAAAUUUUUUUCUGCAUUAUAUGCUCUUUAUUACAUUUGUUGUAUCUCUAAGUAAGAUCUGCAUUCCUGUUGAUUCCUGAAAGUGCAGUUUGACGUCACUUUUCCAGCCCUUCCAUGUUCUAUUCUUAGCCUUGAUGCCAUGGACAUCAGUGGGGAGCAGCAUCUUGAUGUAAAACAUGAUAUUAUCAAGAAAAGACUAGAUUCUCAUGGCAAUGUAAUAGAAGCACGACAAGACGGUAUCGGUGCUCCUAAGAUUGAAAAGCCUUUGCAGAGACAUGGCGGCAGGCUUGAUCAUAAUGAGACAUAUUGUGGUUCAUGUUAUGGUGCUGAAGCGGUAAGCUUAUCUGUCUGGCAAUGUUUUGAGAAAAUAACUGUGUGAUCCCACAUUAAAUUGUCAAAUAAUCAGCUCAGCAUUCUAACAUUUUCAUAUUGUUCUCCCUCUCAAAAAAUGAAGAACAGAGACAUCAAUUUUUGUGGCUUGCAUUCUGUCAUGCACUCAUGCUUGCUUUCAGGAGGUCUCCUAGGAAUAGUCUUAAUUUUUGUCCUUACUGAUGAUAAAAAUCAUAUUGCAAUAUAUUCUCUAUUCCUUUUAUAUUGCAGUCAGAUGAGGACUGUUGUAAUUCUUGUGAGGAAGUUCGUGAAGCAUAUCGUAAGAAAGGUUGGGCACUGUCAAAUCCGGAUUUGAUUGACCAGUGCAAAAGGGAAGGUUUUCUACAAAGGAUCAAGGAUGAGGAAGGUGAAGGAUGCAAUAUUUAUGGAUUUUUGGAAGUUAAUAAGGUGGCUGGUAAUUUUCACUUUGCACCCGGCAAGAGUUUUCAACAAUCAAAUGUUCACGUACAUGAUCUGCUGGCAUUUCAAAAGGACAGUUUUAAUAUAAGUCACAAGAUUAAUAGGCUAGCUUUUGGAGAAUAUUUUCCUGGUGUUGUGAAUCCUCUUGAUGGUGUGCACUGGACACAAGAAACCCCAAGUGGAAUGUACCAGUAUUUUAUCAAGGUUGUACCUACUGUGUACACAGAUAUCAGUGGGCACACAAUUCAGUCAAACCAGUUUUCUGUGACUGAACAUUAUAGAACUGCAGAAGUGGGUCGCCUUCAAUCCCUCCCGGGAGUUUUCUUCUUUUAUGACCUUUCUCCGAUUAAGGUGACUUUCACAGAGGAGCAUAUAUCAUUCUUGCACUUCCUAACAAAUGUCUGCGCUAUUGUUGGAGGUAACAGACCAUCCCUGAAAUAUUGCAUCAUCAUUUUUUUAGCACAACCUUACUUUCUGUACUCCUGAUUGAGUUAUUCUCAUCAAUUAUUGGGAUUGUCUCCCCCCCCCCUCAGUAGAAAUAACUGGGAUUGUGCCAUUUCCCAUAUGGACUAUGUCCUACUAACCUAACAUCGUUCAUUGUUAUUCCCCAAAAAGUCAGUGCCCAUUUUGACCAUAAAUGCUUAAUGUGCAUUAUUGGCCUCCUUUGAUUUUAGUGGGUGCCCAGGUGUGUAGCAGGUAGCGGUUUUCCCUGUCAAGUGUGCAUUUUCCCUUAUUCUUUUGUCCUGAUUUUUGUAGCUGUGAUCAUUAUCAUUUGAUAAAAAAUGUAGUAGAAUUUUUGUGGGCUCAUAAUUAUAUUUAGAUACAAUGAUGUCUGUGGAAAACCUUUUUGUAUGUGUGCAGAAGAGUGGAACUUCAUUUACAAGAUAUUAUGCGUGUUUUAUUUUGUUUUGGAAUACCUUCAUUUAUAUUCAAGUCUAUUUAUCAUUUGGAUACAAGAUAUGCCAAGAAAGCCAUAUAAUUUUUUUCCCCUACUAAUUACUUUCAUUGCAUCUUUCAUGUCUUGAUUUGAUUUAUCAAUUAUUUCUAAUUGUUUCUGUCCUUAGGUGUUUUCACUGUUUCUGGAAUACUGGAUUCAUUUAUAUAUCAUGGUCAAAGGGCAAUCAAGAAGAAGAUGGAAAUCGGUAAAUUUAGUUGAUAGCACGUCUGAUUGGCCUGGGUUGUUGCUGUAUUCUGUUUGGUUUGUCAGUAACUGGCUUCUCAAAUAGAAUUGGGUUGAAUGACAACAUUUUGAAUUGUCCGGCGGCUUUGGAUCACAACUAACUUUCUGUCAAGAUUCAUGAUGUAUGAACCAAUGAAUUAGAAUUAUUUUUUAUAGUUCAUUUUAUAUUUGCAAUGAAAUGUCUCUCGGGGUCUCAUUGUGGUUAAUGUAAUGGCACUGCUGAUACAAGUAUCUGGGUGAAAAGGGGCGUUUCAUUGUUUCCUUAGCUAAGAAAUCAAGAAUUCUGAAGUGGGAAUGAAGAAACAAUCAAGCAUUUUUGUCUGAUGAUUUUGGUUUCACUUGUUAUCUUUUGGUACAAAUGAGGGUGCUCAUAUCUCCCAAGUAUCCGUCUGUUGUGUAAUAAUCCAGUUACCAAUGGUCUAACAAAGCUGGCCAAGUAGAGGUAGAACAGUAGAUUACCUCUCCUUAAAUGGGAAUUUGGGGGAAAGGGUAUUGGUUAUGAUUAUUUGCUCGCGCAUUUAGUGCGGCCUUCAAAUGCACGGCCAUAGGUUAUGAAUAAGGAAACAUAUCAUGAAUUUAAGUAUGUAUAAUUAAAUUUAUGAUAGAGUUUUAAACAAGAA